This 350-nucleotide ribosomal RNA is filed under the name uncultured eukaryote. Its description in RNAcentral is "SSU rRNA". It matches the Rfam family "Eukaryotic small subunit ribosomal RNA", at positions 567 to 934 of the family's 1831-position model. The record is from RNAcentral.
CCAGCAGCUGCGGUAAUUCCAGCUCCAAUAGCGUAUACUUAAGUUGUUGCAGUUAAAAAGCUCGUAGUUGAAAAUCGAAUCAGCUUCAUUAUGGCUUCGGUCAUACUUGUUAGCUGGUUCUCCGUCUACAAACCUUUUUGCUCUUUUACGAGUGCAGCUUGGAGAGUAGACAAUUUACCUUGAAAAAAUUAGAGUGUUCCAGGCAGGUCUUCGCCGGAAUACAUUAGCAUGGAAUAAUGGAAUAGGACUAUGGUCUUUUGUUGGUUUUAGGGCCAGUGUAAUGAUUAAUAGGGACAGAUGGGGGCAUUAGUAUUUAAUUGUCAGAGGUGAAAUUCUUGGAUUUAUUAAAG